This 233-nucleotide ribosomal RNA is filed under the name uncultured bacterium. RNAcentral's name for it is "partial 16S ribosomal RNA". It matches the Rfam family "Bacterial small subunit ribosomal RNA", at positions 544 to 776 of the family's 1533-position model. The record is from RNAcentral.
UUCGGAUUCAUUGGGCGUAAAGGGUGCGUAGGCGGUCUGCUAAGUUUGAUGUGAAAUCCCGGGGCUCAACCCUGGAAUUGCAUUGAAUACUGGUGGACUAGAGUACUGGAGAGGAAACUGGAAUUUACGGUGUAGCAGUGAAAUGCGUAGAGAUCGUAAGGAAGACCAGUGGCGAAGGCGAGUUUCUGGACAGUAACUGACGCUGAGGCACGAAGGCCAGGGGAGCAAACGGG